GUUGUGUUCCUCUCCAGCGUGGGUUUAAAAAGAAGUCUAGUUAGUAUAAUGAAUGUCGUCGUCGAGUAUGAUCAGUUUAACCGAUGAUGUUGGCGCCGGUCGGUCGGGCGGAUCUAUGAUGGAAAUAGUGGAUUCGGUUGUUGGUCGAUGGUCUGGUCUGGUAUGGUAUGGUAUGGUAUGAUGUAGUUAUAGGCAGCAGCAAUGAGCAACUUGUUUGUAGCUAGUCUUUUUCUUGGUUGCAGACAGACAGACAGACUUUGACAGUUUUGUUUUCCUUUCUCUUCUUGUGUUUGCAUCCCCUUUGCUUCUUUCUUUUCCUUCUUACUAUCAAA
RNAcentral lists this long non-coding RNA (332 nucleotides) under Triticum aestivum (bread wheat). RNAcentral describes it as "long non-coding RNA (TAES_LNC017230)". Lineage: Eukaryota; Viridiplantae; Streptophyta; Magnoliopsida; Poales; Poaceae. The record is from RNAcentral.